RNAcentral lists this ribosomal RNA (253 nucleotides) under uncultured bacterium. Its description in RNAcentral is "partial 16S ribosomal RNA". It matches the Rfam family "Bacterial small subunit ribosomal RNA", at positions 524 to 776 of the family's 1533-position model. The record is from RNAcentral.
GACGUAGGGGGCCAGCGUUGUUCGGAAUUACUGGGCGUAAAGGGCUCGUAGGUGGCCAACUAAGUCAGACGUGAAAUCCCUCGGCUUAACCGGGGAACUGCGUCUGAUACUGGAUGGCUUGAGUUCGGGAGAGGGAUGCGGAAUUCCAGGUGUAGCGGUGAAAUGCGUAGAUAUCUGGAGGAACACCGGUGGCGAAGGCGGCAUCCUGGACCGACACUGACACUGAGGAGCGAAAGCCAGGGGAGCAAACGGG